This 223-nucleotide ribosomal RNA is filed under the name uncultured bacterium. RNAcentral's name for it is "partial 16S ribosomal RNA". It matches the Rfam family "Bacterial small subunit ribosomal RNA", at positions 15 to 228 of the family's 1533-position model. The record is from RNAcentral.
GAUCAUGGCUCAGGACGAACGCUGGCGGCGUGCCUAAUACAUGCAAGUAGAACGCUGAAGAGAGGAGCUUGCUCUUCUUGGAUGAGUUGCGAACGGGUGAGUAACGCGUAGGUAACCUGCCUGGUAGCGGGGGAUAACUAUUGGAAACGAUAGCUAAUACCGCAUAAAAUGGAUUAUCGCAUGAUAAUCCAUUGAAAGGUGCAAAUGCAUCACUACCAGAUGG